Molecule: transfer RNA, 71 nt
Filed under: Methanobacteriota archaeon
Lineage: Archaea; Methanobacteriati; Methanobacteriota
Also listed under: 1 other name
Description: Euryarchaeota archaeon tRNA-Tyr
Rfam family: tRNA
About the family: Transfer RNA (tRNA) molecules are approximately 80 nucleotides in length. Their secondary structure includes four short double-helical elements and three loops (D, anti-codon, and T loops).
Source: RNAcentral
CGGGGCGUGGUGUAACGGCAGCAUUCGGGACUGUAGAUCCUGCGGUGGGCGUUCGACUCGCUCUGCCCCGA